GACGAACGCUGGCGGCGUGCUUAACACAUGCAAGUCGAACGGAAAGGCCCUGCUUUUGUGGGGUGCUCGAGUGGCGAACGGGUGCGUAACACGUGAGUAACCUGCCCUUGACUUUGGUAUAACUUCAGGAAACUGGGGCUAAUACCGGAUAGGAGCUCCUGCUGCAUGGUGGGGGUUGGAACGUUUCGGCGGUUGGGGAUGGACUCGCGGCUUAUCAGCUUGUUGGUGGGGUAGUGGCUUACCAAGGCUUUGACGGGUAGCCGGCCUGAGAGGGUGACCGGCCACAUUGGGACUGAGAUACGGCCCAGACUCCUACGGGAGGCAGUAGUGGGGAAUAUUGCACAAUGGGCGGAAGCCUGAUGCAGCAACGCCGCGUGCGGGAUGACGGCCUGAGGGUUGUAAACCGCUUUCGCCUGUGACGAAGCGGGAGUGACGGUAAUGGGUAAAGAAGCACCGGCUAACUACGUG
This 468-nucleotide ribosomal RNA is filed under the name uncultured bacterium. RNAcentral's name for it is "partial 16S ribosomal RNA". It matches the Rfam family "Bacterial small subunit ribosomal RNA", at positions 28 to 507 of the family's 1533-position model. The record is from RNAcentral.